Molecule: transfer RNA, 90 nt
Filed under: Myoviridae sp. ctNQV2
Lineage: Duplodnaviria; Heunggongvirae; Uroviricota; Caudoviricetes
Description: tRNA-Leu
Rfam family: tRNA
About the family: Transfer RNA (tRNA) molecules are approximately 80 nucleotides in length. Their secondary structure includes four short double-helical elements and three loops (D, anti-codon, and T loops).
Source: RNAcentral
GGGAAUGUGGCGCAAUGGUUGAGACGCAACAGAUUUAGAAUCUGUAAGAGGUAAACUCUUGUGUGGGUUCGACUCCCACCAUUCCCACCA